This 678-nucleotide ribosomal RNA is filed under the name Clavulina sp. ML-14. RNAcentral describes it as "eukaryotic LSU rRNA". The stretch from base 232 to 385 matches the Rfam family "5.8S ribosomal RNA". Lineage: Eukaryota; Fungi; Basidiomycota; Agaricomycetes; Cantharellales; Hydnaceae. The record is from RNAcentral.
UAGUGACCUGCGGAGGAUCAUUAAUGAGUUGUGAUGGGGUUUGAUGCUGGCAGCCAAUUUUUGGAUGCAUGUGCUUGCCCUAACAAUCAUCUUCCAAACACCUGUGCACAUUUUUGAGGGAGUUUCGAGUUUUAUUGCCGUUUUUGGUGAUUUUCUUGUAUUCCCUUGAAUUAUUAUACGCUGUUAACAAUGAUGAACGUGCUCUGUGCCGCAAGGCCAUUAAUAUAAUACAACUUUUAACAACGGAUCUCUUGGCUCUCGCAUCGAUGAAGAACGCAGCGAAAUGCGAUAAGUAAUGUGAAUUGCAGAAUUCAGUGAAUCAUCGAAUCUUUGAACGCACCUUGCGCUCCCUGGUAUUCCGGGGAGCACGCCUGUUCGAGUGUCGCGAAAUUUCUCAAGCUUGGAUGGCCUUUUUGUCUGUCCUUAGCCUUGGUUGUUGGGCUUUGCCGUGUCCUUUGUUGGGACGGCUGGCCUUAAAAGCAUUAGCUGAUCCUCGUGUGGCACUGGUUCUACUCAGCGUGAUAACAGUCUGAUCGCUGAGGACAUCUUUUGGGAUGGCCAGUUCUCAUUUGGGUUGCUUCCAAACUUGGUUUUGCAGAUUCUUCAAUCUGUGUUCUACUUUUCAGCUUUGACCUCGAAUCAGGUGGGACUACCCGCUGAACUUAAGCAUAUCAAUAA